This 179-nucleotide unclassified non-coding RNA is filed under the name uncultured Malassezia. The record is from RNAcentral. Lineage: Eukaryota; Fungi; Basidiomycota; Malasseziomycetes; Malasseziales; Malasseziaceae.
GUGAAGAUUCAAGGGCCAGCCAUACAGACGUACAAUAAGUGUGUCUCUGGCGGCUCGCAUCCACUAUACAUCCAUAAACCCGUGUGCACUGUUCUAAGGAGUAAGAAAGAAGAAGAAGGGGGAGGGAGAGAGAGUGCAUGUGCUUUGCAUAUAACUCUCUCACUCUCCACUCUCUUUCU